AACCCAUCAUGUGUUCCCAACCCAUCAUGUGUUCCCAAGCUUCACACAAGCUUUCACAAUCUCUUUGCUCAAACCUUGCAAUCUCAUUUCUAAACCU
This is a non-coding RNA of Arabis alpina (gray rockcress), 97 nucleotides long. NCBI's taxonomy places the organism in Eukaryota, Viridiplantae, Streptophyta, Magnoliopsida, Brassicales, Brassicaceae. The record is from Rfam.